UCUUAGCAACCGAUUUGGUCCUAGUCCUCUUCUUGGUUCCACCUAAACCGAUACAUGCAAGCUAUUUAGCAGUACAGUGAGUAAACCUAUAUAAUUCACCCUGAAAAGAAGUGAUAGUCAUAACAAAAGUAUCAGAAAAUUAUCUUAAUUCUAAAACACUAAGCCCCCCACAUCUGCAGUACCUAAUAUUAUACAAUAAGCAAAAACUUGAUAUAGUUAUAGACCAAAAGAGUUGGUUAAUUAUGUGCCAGCCACCGCGGUUAUACAUAAAACUCAAAUCAAGAAAACAAUAAAUCGGUCUAAAAGUGACCAGGGUAUAAACCAUUUUAAGGUGAAAAACAACUCUAGUAUUAACAAGCUUUCACAGUAAACUAACAACUAACUUAAAACCCACCUUAAUUUCUACUUUCUAACCCGAAACACCAAAGCUCAAAAAUAAACUGGGAUUAGAUACCCCACUAUAUGAGCCGUAAAAAACC
This 479-nucleotide ribosomal RNA is filed under the name Astropecten granulatus. RNAcentral describes it as "partial 12S ribosomal RNA". Lineage: Eukaryota; Metazoa; Echinodermata; Asteroidea; Paxillosida; Astropectinidae. The record is from RNAcentral.